RNAcentral lists this ribosomal RNA (495 nucleotides) under uncultured bacterium. RNAcentral describes it as "bacterial SSU rRNA". It matches the Rfam family "Bacterial small subunit ribosomal RNA", at positions 899 to 1397 of the family's 1533-position model. The record is from RNAcentral.
ACUCAAAGGAAUUGACGGGGGCCCGCACAAGCAGCGGAGCAUGUGGUUUAAUUCGAAGCAACGCGAAGAACCUUACCUAGACUUGACAUCUCCUGAAUUACUCUGUAAUGGAGGAAGCCCUUCGGGGCAGGAAGACAGGUGGUGCAUGGUUGUCGUCAGCUCGUGUCGUGAGAUGUUGGGUUAAGUCCCGCAACGAGCGCAACCCUUAUUGUUAGUUGCUACCAUUUAGUUGAGCACUCUAGCGAGACUGCCCGGGUUAACCGGGAGGAAGGUGGGGAUGACGUCAAAUCAUCAUGCCCCUUAUGUCUAGGGCUACACACGUGCUACAAUGGCUGGUACAGAGAGAUGCGAUACCGCGAGGUGGAGCCAAACUUUAAAACCAGUCUCAGUUCGGAUUGUAGGCUGAAACUCGCCUACAUGAAGCUGGAGUUGCUAGUAAUCGCGAAUCAGAAUGUCGCGGUGAAUACGUUCCCGGGCCUUGUACACACCGCCCGU